RNAcentral lists this transfer RNA (65 nucleotides) under Amorophaga japonica. RNAcentral's name for it is "tRNA-Thr". Lineage: Eukaryota; Metazoa; Arthropoda; Insecta; Lepidoptera; Tineidae. The record is from RNAcentral.
GUUUAUGUAAUUUAAUAAAAAUAUUGAUCUUGUAAAUCAAAAAUAAGUUAAAUACUUCUUAAACU